UACGUGGGGUGCAAGCGUUGUUCGGAAUUACUUGGCGUAAAGCGUGUGUAGGCGGCCGGUUAAGUCUGAUGUGAAAUCCCUGGGCUUAACACAGGAACUGCAUUGGAAACUGGCUGGCUCGAGUCCGGGAGAGGGUAGUGGAAUUCCUGGUGUAGAGGUGAAAUUCGUAGAUAUCAGGAGGAACACCGGUGGCGAAGGCGGCUACCUGGACCGGAACUGACGCUGAGACACGAAAGCGUGGGGAGCAAACAGG
This 253-nucleotide ribosomal RNA is filed under the name uncultured prokaryote. Its description in RNAcentral is "partial 16S ribosomal RNA". It matches the Rfam family "Bacterial small subunit ribosomal RNA", at positions 524 to 776 of the family's 1533-position model. The record is from RNAcentral.